This 410-nucleotide ribosomal RNA is filed under the name uncultured Actinomycetes bacterium. RNAcentral's name for it is "bacterial SSU rRNA". It matches the Rfam family "Bacterial small subunit ribosomal RNA", at positions 1051 to 1461 of the family's 1533-position model. Lineage: Bacteria; Bacillati; Actinomycetota; Actinomycetes. The record is from RNAcentral.
GUCGUCAGCUCGUGUCGUGAGAUGUUGGGUUAAGUCCCGCAACGAGCGCAACCCUCGUUCUGUGUUGCCAGCAUUUAGUUGGGGACUCAUAGGAGACUGCCGGGGUUAACUCGGAGGAAGGUGGGGAUGACGUCAAAUCAUCAUGCCCCUUAUGUCUUGGGCUGCACGCAUGCUACAAUGGCUGGUACAAACGGCUGCAAUACCGCAAGGUGGAGCGAAUCCGAGAAAGCCAGUCUCAGUUCGGAUUGGGGUCUGCAACUCGACCCCAUGAAGUCGGAGUUGCUAGUAAUCGUAGAUCAGCAACGCUACGGUGAAUACGUUCCCGGGGCUUGUACACACCGCCCGUCACGUCACGAAAGUCGGUAACACCCGAAGUCAGUGGCCCAACCGCAAGGAGGGAGCUGCCGAAG